Molecule: ribosomal RNA, 253 nt
Filed under: uncultured bacterium
Lineage: Bacteria
Description: partial 16S ribosomal RNA
Rfam family: Bacterial small subunit ribosomal RNA
Source: RNAcentral
UACGUAGGGUGCAAGCGUUAAUCGGAAUUACUGGGCGUAAAGCGUGCGCAGGCGGUUAUGCAAGACAGAUGUGAAAUCCCCGGGCUUAACCUGGGAACCGCAUUUGUGACUGCAUAGCUAGAGUACGGCAGAGGGGGAUGGAAUUCCGCGUGUAGCAGUGAAAUGCGUAGAUAUGCGGAGGAACACCGAUGGCGAAGGCAGUCCCCUGGGCCUGUACUGACGCUCAUGCACGAAAGCGUGGGGAGCAAACAGG